This 250-nucleotide long non-coding RNA is filed under the name Panax ginseng (ginseng). Its description in RNAcentral is "long non-coding RNA (PGIN_LNC012347)". Lineage: Eukaryota; Viridiplantae; Streptophyta; Magnoliopsida; Apiales; Araliaceae. The record is from RNAcentral.
UGUUUAAUGUCUUUGGCUCGACGUCAUGCCUCUCUUCUCAGCUUUCAUAGAUCGGAUCGUCUAGCUCCACCAUCUCAAUAUUUUCCACCUGAUGCCCCUCAUAGAAAGGCUUUAAUCUAUGUCCAUUCACCUUAAGGAUCUUGUUUGUACUAGGACUUUGAAUCUCAACUGCACCAUGAGGAAACACAUUAGUGAUAACAAAAUGACCAACCCAUCUAGAUCUCAAUUUACCUGGAAAUAACUUAAGCCG